RNAcentral lists this ribosomal RNA (253 nucleotides) under uncultured bacterium. Its description in RNAcentral is "partial 16S ribosomal RNA". It matches the Rfam family "Bacterial small subunit ribosomal RNA", at positions 524 to 776 of the family's 1533-position model. The record is from RNAcentral.
UACGAAGGGUGCAAGCGUUACUCGGAAUUACUGGGCGUAAAGCGUGCGUAGGUGGUUUGUUAAGUCUGUUGUGAAAGCCCCGGGCUCAACCUGGGAAUGGCAAUGGAUACUGGCAAGCUAGAGUGCGGUAGAGGGUAGUGGAAUUCCCGGUGUAGCGGUGAAAUGCGUAGAGAUCGGGAGGAACACCAGUGGCGAAGGCGGCUACCUGGACCAGCACUGACACUGAGGCGCGAAAGCGUGGGGAGCGAACAGG